This 118-nucleotide ribosomal RNA is filed under the name Neogale vison (American mink). Lineage: Eukaryota; Metazoa; Chordata; Mammalia; Carnivora; Mustelidae. The record is from RNAcentral.
UCUACUGCCAUACCACCCUGAACGCGCCCGAUCUCCUCUGAUCUCGGAAGCUAAGCAGGGUCGGGCCUGGUUAGUACUUGGAUGGGAGAACAACACCCAUAUUAUGGGAUUGUUAUAA